This 462-nucleotide long non-coding RNA is filed under the name Pongo abelii (Sumatran orangutan). RNAcentral's name for it is "lincRNA". The record is from RNAcentral. Lineage: Eukaryota; Metazoa; Chordata; Mammalia; Primates; Hominidae.
AGGAAGGAGCAUGGAGAAGACGAGAACAAGGCUCUCAGAAGGAACUGGUGUGGCUGGAGCCAUAAGAACUCGUUGUGGAGGAGGUGAGGAGAGGGCAAAUACAAUUUCUGACUUACAUAAUGAUGUAUGCACAAGAAGCCUCUCCUUGAAUGUAUUAAUUCAGCAAACAGUUAUGGAGUCCUUACAAUGUGCUAGUGGAACUUUGAAGAUGAACCCAAAUUUGGAUCCUGGCCUGAAAAGGCUCAAAGCCUAAUACGGGGGCCUGGAUCCAAAUGUGAAACUUAUCUGCUUUUAUUAACCAGUCAACCACCUCCUGCAAAAACAACAACAGCAACAACAACAGAAAAAACAAAAACAAAAACAAAAAAAAAAACUCUGCAUACACAAGACCUUUGUUUCUACAAGAGACUUGGCUAAAGGUUUGGGCACGCAUAGCCCCAAAAUUAAAAAUGGAAAAUUGAA